UUUCCGUAGGUGAACCUGCGGAAGGAUCUUUACAGAGUUCAUGCCCUCACAGGUAGAUCUCCCACCCUUGAAUAUUUAUACCUUAGUUGCUUUGGCAGGCCGUGGAAACACCAUGGGCUCCGGCUUAUGCGUGCCUGCCAGAGGAAACAAACUCUGUUUUUAGUGAUGUCUGAGUACUAUAUAAUAGUUAAAACUUUCAACAACGGAUCUCUUGGUUCUG
This 220-nucleotide unclassified non-coding RNA is filed under the name plant metagenome. RNAcentral describes it as "partial contains small subunit ribosomal RNA, internal transcribed spacer 1, and 5.8S ribosomal RNA". The record is from RNAcentral.